UGCUUUUUCAUCCCUUGAUUUCUAAUAUUCUUUUUCCUUCCUCUUCCCCCAUUACAUACUAUUCUCCACUCUCCCUCGUUAGAUAUAUUCAGAUGUUGGGUCGCUUUCCUGUAUCUGACUCUCAUGACAACAACGACCCAUAUCCUUUCCCUUUAAUUUGCCCAUGAACAAUACACACAUACAUACACAUAGACAUACAUAUACAUACAUGCUAUAACUCAUUCCUCUCAUCCUGGCCUCCACAAUCCAUAAUUUCUGCAGCUAGCUCCUUUUUCUUUUCUUUUCUAUUAUUAUGCUCCACCUUCUCUCUUACUCCAUUUCCUAGUUUUGCUACCUGCAGUUGCACUCCAUUCCAGGGCCUUUCCAUUAUUUAUUUUUCUAUUAUUUUCCUAAUUUUUUUUCUUCUCAUUUAUUUCCUAAGAUUAGGGUUUUAAGCAAUACUUGCAUCACUUACAAAUUUAGGGUUUUUACUUCACUAACCCAACAUAAUUACUCUCUCCAUGAAUAUUAAUGUUAAUAGUACUAGAGGAGCACAUACAUAUUUUAGCGGUUAGGUCAAGAUAAAUGAAUUAGGUCCAGAAUCACACUUUGCUUUUACUUUUAUUGGUUCUCUUUCUUUUUGUACCUACUAUGUUAACAUACUAUUUUAGUUCAUAUAUGUAUAUAUGUUUACUUGAUAUAUUCACUUGUAUCAUAUCUUAUCCGGGAAAUUGGUUUCUAUGAUCUAAUGUCUUUCUGUCAAAGUUUCCAGGGUUAAUUCCUAUAACAUCUUUUAGUUUUUCCCCGGCCCUCUCCUUAAUACUUGCUUUAUAGCCUAUAAUUCAUCAGUCGACACAUAUGCACAUGCUUUCCUGCUUACAACAGCUCUACCACUACUCCAGUCCACUCUGAUGGAACUACUAAAAUGGUCUACAAGAGAUGUGGUUUGAUGAAUUAAUGAGAGACAAUGAAAGGUGUGCAAGUAAAUACUGAUGUCUCUUGAGCUUGACUGUGCUAUCUGCUCUCAGCCAUGUGUCUUUGUUCCUAAAAUUUACACUUGCAUUUUUGGUCAGACAUUGUACAGUUUGGUGCACGUGUUAUCAUGUGUUUGUUUCAAGGUUUGUUUCAGUGGUAUUGGUUUUGGUUUCAAAGUAAGUGAGGGCCAUAGGAAAAAUCUGUUUGAUUACAAAAGUUGCAGAAACAUCCGGCUUUUACGGCUAGUUUAUGUGUGUUUCAAGUACAGAUUUAACAUAAAUAUAUAUCUGUGGGGGUUUUGGUUUC
Molecule: long non-coding RNA, 1260 nt
Organism: Gossypium raimondii (Peruvian cotton)
Lineage: Eukaryota; Viridiplantae; Streptophyta; Magnoliopsida; Malvales; Malvaceae
Exons: 2
Source: RefSeq, a predicted model, not a curated record